This 253-nucleotide ribosomal RNA is filed under the name uncultured bacterium. Its description in RNAcentral is "partial 16S ribosomal RNA". It matches the Rfam family "Bacterial small subunit ribosomal RNA", at positions 524 to 776 of the family's 1533-position model. The record is from RNAcentral.
UACGUAGGUGGCAAGCGUUGUUCGGAAUUACUGGGCGUAAAGCGUGCGCAGGCGGUUUGCUAAGACAGGUGUGAAAUCCCCGGGCUUAACCUGGGAACUGCGCUUGUAACUGGCAAGCUUGAGUGUGGCAGAGGGGGGUGGAAUUCCACGUGUAGCAGUGAAAUGCGUAGAGAUGUGGAGGAACACCGAUGGCGAAGGCAGCCCCCUGGGCUAACACUGACGCUCAUGCACGAAAGCGUGGGGAGCAAACGGG